GAAAGUAAACAAGGGCGCAUGGAGGAUGCCUAGGCUCUCGGAGGCGAAGAAGGACGUGAUAAGCUGCGAAAAGUUACGGUAAGGCGCAAAUAGCCGUAGACCCGUAAAUAUCCGAAUGGGGCAACCCGGCCAGCAAUGGCCAUACCGCCAAGCGGUAAGCCAACGCGGGGAACUGAAACAUCUAAGUACCCGCAGGAAAAGAAAAUAACCAUGAUUCCGCAAGUAGUGGCGAGCGAACGCGGAACAGCCCAAACCACCCGUGUUACGGCACGAGUGGGGUAGAAGGAUCCACGCUACGGCAAGAAAUAAGUUAGCGGAAUACGAUGGAAAUCGUAGCCAAAGACGGUGACAGCCCAGUACGCGAAAACCGACAGAAGCCCAGUGGACACCUGAGUAACCCAGGACACGAGAAAUCCGGGGCGAAUCAGCGGGGCCCAUCCCGUAAGGCUAAAUACUCCCGAGAGACCGAUAGCGAACCAGUACUGUGAAGGAAAGGUGAAAAGAACCUCGAACAGAGGAGUGAAACAGACCCUGAAACCAUGCGCCUACAAGCGGUCGGAGCAUGUUAAAAUGUGACGGCGUGCCUUUUGCAUAAUGAACCUACGAGUUACUCUCGCUGGCAAGGUUAAGCGAUUCAGUCGCGCAGCCGAAGCGAAAGCAAGUCCGAACAAGGCGUACAGUCAGCGGGAGUAGACGCGAAACCAAGUGAUCUACCCUUGGUCAGGUUGAAGGUUGGGUAACACCAACUGGAGGACCGCACCGAUAAGCGUUGAAAAGCUUACGGAUGAACUGAGGGUAGGAGUGAAAGGCCAAUCAAACUUGGAGAUAGCUCGUACUCCCCGAAAUGCAUUUAGGUGCAGCCUCGAAGUAAAGUGAUAGAGGUAGAGCGACUGAUAAGAUGCGAGGGCUUCACCGCCUAUCAAGUCUUGACAAACUCCGAAUACUAUCACUUGAUCUUCGGGAGUGAGGGCAUGGGUGCUAAGGUCCAUGUCCGAAAGAGGAACAACUCAGACCACCAGCUAAGGUCCCGAAAUAAGGGCUAAGUUGAAUAAACGAAGUAAAACUGCAAAGACAGCUAGGAUGUUGGCUUGGAAGCAGCCAUUCAUUUAAAGAGUGCGUAACAGCUCACUAGUCGAGGAGUUUUGCAUGGAUAAUAAUCGGGCAUAAGCCCUUUACCGAAGCUGUGGAUGUCGCAAGACAUGGUAGGGGAGCAUUCCGGCGGCGACGAAGGCCGUCCUCGAGGACGACUGGAGCUUUCGGAAAAGCAAAUGUAGGUAUAAGUAACGAUAAAGGGGGCGCGAAACCCCCUCGCCAUAAGACUAAGGAUUCCUGAUCAACGCUAAUCGGAUCAGGGUAAGUCGGGCCCUAAGGCGCAGCCGAACGGCGUAGCCGAUGGAAGAAACGGUAAAGAUUCCGUUACUGGAUAUAGGAGCGAUGUGGAGACGGAGAAGUGACACACCCGCCUGCCGACGGAAGCGCAGGUUAAAGGAAGUAGGUAAACGCCGGGCAGGCAAAUCCGCCCAGCGUGCCGAAGCUGACAGUAUCGAGAGCCCCCGGGCAAUCGAAUAGCGGUGGUAACCAGGCUCCCAAGAAAAUCCGCUAAGCAUAUUCUAUAUCCACCCGUACCCCAAACGGACACACGUAGUCGGGUAGAAUAUACCAAGGCGCUCGAAAGACUCACGGUUAAGGAACUAGGCAAAUUGACCCUGUAACCUCGGGAAAAAGGGUCCCCAGUAAGAUGGGGCGCAGAGAAUAGGUCCAGGCAACUGUUUAACAAAAACACAGGGCUGUGCAAAAUUUGAAGAUGAAGUAUACAGCCUGACACCUGCCCGGUGCCGGAAGGUUAAGAGGAGAGCUAAUCGCAAGAGAAGGCUUGAAUUGAAGCCCCGGUAAACGGCGGCCGUAACUAUAACGGUCCUAAGGUAGCGAAAUUCCUUGUCGGGUAAGUUCCGACCUGCACGAAUGGUGUAA
Molecule: ribosomal RNA, 1971 nt
Filed under: human gut metagenome
Description: bacterial LSU rRNA
Rfam family: Bacterial large subunit ribosomal RNA
Source: RNAcentral